UACGGGGGGGGCAAGCGUUGUUCGGAAUUACUGGGCGUAAAGGGCUCGUAGGCGGCCAACUAAGUCGGAUGUGAAAUCCCCAGGCUCAACCUGGGAACUGCAUCCGAUACUGGAUGGCUUGAAUUCGGGAGAGGGAUGCAGAAUUCCAGGUGUAGCGGUGAAAUGCGUAGAUAUCUGGAGGAAUACCGGUGGCGAAGGCGGCAUCCUGGACCGAGAUUGACGCUGAGGAGCGAAAGCCAGGGGAGCAAACGGG
RNAcentral lists this ribosomal RNA (253 nucleotides) under uncultured bacterium. RNAcentral describes it as "partial 16S ribosomal RNA". It matches the Rfam family "Bacterial small subunit ribosomal RNA", at positions 524 to 776 of the family's 1533-position model. The record is from RNAcentral.